CUUCCGUGUCAUGUGUUUCCAUGUUCAACUUUAAUUAUUCGUCUUAUUUAAAAUUAUUUUAUUAUUACAAUGUGAUAAAACAUAAUAGUAUUUUAUGCAUGACUUAUGUUUUUAUUUUUUUAAAUAAGACAAAUGAUUGAAGUUGGACAUGAUGCUCUUAAA
This 162-nucleotide microRNA precursor is filed under the name Oryza glumipatula. RNAcentral describes it as "MIR812 microRNA precursor family". It matches the Rfam family "MIR812 microRNA precursor family". Lineage: Eukaryota; Viridiplantae; Streptophyta; Magnoliopsida; Poales; Poaceae. The record is from Rfam by way of RNAcentral.